AAAUUGAAGAGUUUGAUCAUGGCUCAGAUUGAACGCUGGCGGCAGGCCUAACACAUGCAAGUCGAACGGUAACAGGAAGCAGCUUGCUGCUUUGCUGACGAGUGGCGGACGGGUGAGUAAUGUCUGGGAAACUGCCUGAUGGGGGGGGAUAACUACUGGAAACGGUGGCUAAUACCGCAUAACGUCGCAAGACCAAAGAGGGGGACCUUCGGGCCUCUUGCCAUCAGAUGUGCCCAGAUGGGAUUAGCUUGUUGGUGAGGUAACGGCUCACCAAGGCGACGAUCCCUAGCUGGUCUGAGAGGAUGACCAGCCACACUGGAACUGAGACACGGUCCAGACUCCUACGGGAGGCAGCAGUGGGGAAUAUUGCACAAUGGGCGCAAGCCUGAUGCAGCCAUGCCGCGUGUAUGAAGAAGGCCUUCGGGUUGUAAAGUACUUUCAGCGGGGAGGAAGGUGUUGUGGUUAAUAACCGCAGCAAUUGACGUUACCCGCAGAAGAAGCACCGGCUAACUCCGUGCCAGCAGCCGCGGUAAUACGGAGGGUGCAAGCGUUAAUCGGAAUUACUGGGCGUAAAGCGCACGCAGGCGGUCUGUCAAGUCGGAUGUGAAAUCCCCGGGCUCAACCUGGGAACUGCAUUCGAAACUGGCAGGCUUGAGUCUUGUAGAGGGGGGUAGAAUUCCAGGUGUAGCGGUGAAAUGCGUAGAGAUCUGGAGGAAUACCGGUGGCGAAGGCGGCCCCCUGGACAAAGACUGACGCUCAGGUGCGAAAGCGUGGGGAGCAAACAGGAUUAGAUACCCUGGUAGUCCACGCCGUAAACGAUGUCUACUUGGAGGUUGUGCCCUUGAGGCGUGGCUUCCGGAGCUAACGCGUUAAGUAGACCGCCUGGGGAGUACGGCCGCAAGGUUAAAACUCAAAUGAAUUGACGGGGGCCCGCACAAGCGGUGGAGCAUGUGGUUUAAUUCGAUGCAACGCGAAGAACC
This 980-nucleotide ribosomal RNA is filed under the name Salmonella enterica. RNAcentral's name for it is "bacterial SSU rRNA". It matches the Rfam family "Bacterial small subunit ribosomal RNA", at positions 1 to 970 of the family's 1533-position model. Lineage: Bacteria; Pseudomonadati; Pseudomonadota; Gammaproteobacteria; Enterobacterales; Enterobacteriaceae. The record is from RNAcentral.